UUAUAGUAUCUAUCAAGAUUAUAGUAAGUUUACAGCAAAAUAAUGUAGGCCUACAUGUAAGUUCUAGAUCUUCAUUCAAUUAUCUUCCGUAUCAUGUGAAUCACGAUAAUAAUUUGUCUGUUUUGAUGUUUUAGAGUUAUCUAUAAUAUAGCCUAAUUAAGGAAAUAAUAUUGGCUAAUAAACAGACGUAGGUGACAGGAAAUUCACGAAUGACGUAUCAUCACACCAGAACUACUGAGCUGAUUGACUUGAAAUAUUUUGCAUAUUGAUUCUUAAUUUACCGAGGAUGGUUAUAGGCCUAUUUUGAAUUCUUGAAUAUUUCAGUGGGUCAAGUUUUUAAUUAGACCACCAUUGCGGAACACGGGUUAUCUACUAAUUAUAAUUUUAGAGAAUCUCACAUCUACAGAGCACACCCAACAUACCCCGAAUGUUUUCAUUACCGUACAUACUUUAUUGGACGACACACUAUUGAAUUUCAUGUUGAAAUAAACCUGUAUAGAUUUUCCUCUUUUGUGCAAAUAGAACUUUCUACUGAUGUUGAAGAGUCACUUUCAGAUACGAUUCAGACUAAAUACUUGAACGAUUGUCAUUACUUCUCGAUAAGCCCAAUAUUUGAUUUCAUUAUUGAUACGGUACUGUAUUAAUCAAUUACACGUAAACUUCCAGCACAUGCGGAGUAAAUGCAUCGUUAAUUUUGUGUAUCAACAUAUCACAAAAACUAUCAUAAUAAUAUUGAGAGUAUUGAGAGGAGAAAAAAGUAUCUUAUUUGUAUCACAUUUGCUAGAAGCUCAUCACAGUUCAUAUAACUCAAACGCUUCAACAAUAUUUGUCUCUGAAAACAGUCCUGAAAAUUUCUUGAAGUUAAAGUUAUUAUAUCCACAAGAUAGCUGCAUUAUUGGUAAACAUCUAGGAUCUUAGAAAGCUGUUGUUUUUCAUUUUUAAUGUUUCUAUGUAUAAGAAAUAAUAAGUUUCAUCACAACCCAUAAAGUAGUUUUUCAGAAAUUGUGAUAAGUAGUAAUUUCCAGAAUUCAACAAUCAAGUUAUUAAUUACAUACUGACUCAAUUAAUCUACCCAGUAGAUCUAUAUAUUAAUCAGAGAGCACUUAAAUACCUUCAAUUACAUUGUAGUCGCUUGAUUCAAUUAACGGAAAUCGAAAUAUUGAAUGUCAAAGAAUAUUAACUUAGGUACUGUAUUGUCUCUUAUGAUAAAUUGGAGACUAUUUGAAAGAAAAAUAGACGAUAUCUCUCAAGUCUUUGAAAUGAAAUUCACCUCGAAAGUGGAGAUAUUUCGUAUUUAUUUCCAUUUACAAUAAUAACAGCAUUUACUUUGCACCCAACCACAGCCCUACCACCAGUGACUGGUGGGUUUUUUUAUACUCUUUGCAUUUUGGUUCUGUUAACUACUAGAAGAUCGAUAUCCAAAGGGUCUGAUUGAUACUAUGAUUCGAAAAUUGGUUUUCAUGGUUGAGUAUUGAAAUAGAUUAGAGAUAUCAAAUUGAAUUCUAUGAAAGAAACUCAGGAACCAAUUCAAGUAAAGUUGUGAGAACAGCAAAUGUUAUGCCAACGAUACUCCCCUGUACAGGAGUCAAUUCAAUCAUUGCAAUUACUACAUUUUUGAGAAUCAUACAGUGAUUCUAUAUUAAUCUGUGGUUCUUCAAGGCUUGGAAUGAGCUUGUAAAAUAUAACUAUCACACAAUAUGAGACAAUACAACAUGAUUUUUUCAUUACACAACAUGAAGGAGAAAGAGAAAAUAGCUCACGCCUCACUUACUUCAUUCAGGUGCUUAGUUUUUAGCGUAGGCUAUACAAGCGAAAUUAUAUUGUCAAGAUCAUUUCGUAGCCGGAGUUGAGAAUCCUUUUAAAUGAGGAUGAAUUGCAAUUUAGUUUUUUUAUCUCUUUUCUAAUUUGAACCAUAUUACUUAAUUUUGAGGUCUCGCAGCAUUUUACAAAUCUUCUUUAGUUUUAGUAGGCCUAUUUUACACUUUCUCUGAUACCGUAUCGUAUCAAUCUUAUUCCGGUCGCGUAUUGAUGGGGAGGAUAUUAUUUUAUUACUUUUCCGACAGUUGCAUAGCUUGGCAAACAGAUAAUGUAUUCAAGAGUUUCAAGUCUCGUUUAAUCUGGUAGAUUUCAUAAGGACGGCAAAAAAUCGAUCGUCCAAAAAUCUUUGUGUGUAACUGGCUUAACUAUCACUGGCUUCAAGAAGCUCAAGAAAAUAGUUUUCUUAUUAUCAUAUGAAAUUACCGGAUUGUAGGUAUGGAGGCUUGAUAUUAGAAUACCGGUACCGUACAGAAAGUUUUUCAAUAGUAGAAUCGUUUAUUUUUCAGGAAUACUUACUUCUACCAGAAUCGGUGUUUAUUCGAUCAGAUACAUGAUCACAACAAUAACAUUUCUUGCUGAAUGAUAAUUUUAUUUCGUGUCUUGAAGUUGGGUGCUACUAGUUUUCCAGUUACACCAUAUCGAGCCAAAGUUGUGAGUUGGUUGGUUGGUAGUCCAACAUGAGAGAGUUGAGGAAGACUCCCUGCCCAAUUUUAACACCUGAGUCCACUCUUUGUCGCCAAUUGCUCAUCUGAUCGAUUUUUGCCUCCUGUUAGGUACCUCCUAGAUACCUAGGAGGAUUUGCCUCCUAGAUACCUAGCCAGUUAGGUUGUAUGCGAUACAUAACAGAGAAUGAAUAUUGCUCUCAAAAAUUGUUCGCCAUAAAAUAUUAUGGGUGAACUUCAGAGUAUUAGCUUUUGCAGUGAGUAGAACUGAAAAAAAUCAACUCAGAUCAGCAACCUUUUCUAUAGUUUUUUUUUGUCUAUAUUUUUAUUAACCUCGUCUACCACACCUCUCAACCCCUCUUUCUCUAUCUAUCCAUUGAUGGAUCCCGGUCGUGUGUUAAUGGGAAGGAUAUUAUUCCAUAUCAUUUUUAGAGAAAGGACAAUUAUUUGUCGAAACACCGCGAUUUAUGAAGAUACGGUACAUCGCAAUGUUAUCGUUAUUCAAAUUGCAUUCAAUCUCUAUUCUCAUUAAUUAACUCUUCAUAUCUUGUAAAAUUCGUUUAAAAUAAGCAGUAUUGUCAUUCAACGUAAAUUAGUGUAUAAGCCAGCAGUAUAAUAACAUAACAUACAUAAAUAAAGAACUCUAAUCUAAUCUAAUCUAAUCCAUGAUCCAUCAUCUUUACACUCUAUGCUCUCUCUCUUCUCUAUUCAACUGCAUAUGCUUUCUAUUACUAUGUUAUAUUUUCCAGUACGUUAGGCUAUAUAGUUUGAGUCUCUCCACUUACUACCUGCUCCACAGUUUCGAAUAAUAGUCCCUUCUUUUGUAAUAGUGUAGGUCUGUCACCAUUGUCCACUGGUCUACCCUCUCUUUCGCAACUCACUCCUUCUCAGUCGGAGUAUUUCGCGCCCUUUUUGGUUGGGUUUGCCUUUUGGUUAGUUGUAGCGCGGAAUAAGCAUACCAGUAGUGGGGUGUAGUGCUUCUUUCCUCUGUGGUUGUAGUCACUAAACUGUCACUAGUCAGUCGCAAUGAGCAGUUAGUUUCAGUUCAUCAUGUAUUGAAUACAUAUUACAGUUCAUGUUUCCAGUGUUUUAUCCGGGAAUUUAUUUGUUUUGAAGUCACUUGAUCUUCUAUUAUCAAUGAGACGUAUGUCGCGCCAUGCGCCGAUAAAGCUUCGGAAGGGCGCACAAUCACGAGUAUCAUGGGGAAGCUGGUGACCCUUCGUUGCCAUAUACUUUUCGUGGAAAAGAGUUCAACGCAAGGACGACCAUAAGAUAGAGAAAAAACCAUUCAAGGACCUUCUCAUAACUAAAGUUAUGAUUGCAGCUGCUACAAACCGGUGAUGGCCAAAGGCAGAAUUGGAGCAGGUCCAGUUGAAAGCGGCUACGUGGCUUGCACAAACCCAAUCCAAGUUGGACAAAAUGAAUCAGCCAUCAACACCAGCUACAAUAACAAUAAUCGACAUCGAUUGUGAAGAUGAACCUCUCGAAUAGAUAAGAAUAUAAUAGUAGUGACAGAAAAGAUCAUAAAACGUGUCUACAUGUUCAAUUUACUGAUAUCAUAAACAAUAAAUUAGUAAUUGAUUAUAA
RNAcentral lists this long non-coding RNA (4067 nucleotides) under Nilaparvata lugens (brown planthopper). Its description in RNAcentral is "uncharacterized LOC111062426, transcript variant X1". The record is from RNAcentral. Lineage: Eukaryota; Metazoa; Arthropoda; Insecta; Hemiptera; Delphacidae.